UACACUCACUUCAACGCCUGAUGUGGUGUG
RNAcentral lists this non-coding RNA (30 nucleotides) under Homo sapiens (human). The record is from RNAcentral. Lineage: Eukaryota; Metazoa; Chordata; Mammalia; Primates; Hominidae.